This 30-nucleotide non-coding RNA is filed under the name Mus musculus (house mouse). The record is from RNAcentral. Lineage: Eukaryota; Metazoa; Chordata; Mammalia; Rodentia; Muridae.
UCCUUUUUAUACAGCCUGGGACUGAAGCCU